This 4652-nucleotide small RNA is filed under the name Pongo abelii (Sumatran orangutan). RNAcentral describes it as "retained intron". The record is from RNAcentral. Lineage: Eukaryota; Metazoa; Chordata; Mammalia; Primates; Hominidae.
CAAAGAGGAACGCUUGGCACCAUGUCUCUGCUCAACCCUGUCCUGCUGCCCCCCAAGGUGAAGGCCUAUCUGAGCCAAGGGGAGCGCUUCAUCAAAUGGGAUGAUGAAACUACAGUUGCCUCUCCAGUUAUCCUCCGUGUGGAUCCUAAGGGCUACUACUUAUACUGGACGUAUCAAAGUAAGGAGAUGGAGUUUCUGGAUAUCACCAGCAUCCGGGAUACUCGCUUUGGGAAGUUUGCCAAGAUGCCCAAGAGCCAGAAGCUCCGGGACGUCUUCAACAUGGACUUUCCUGACAACAGCUUCCUGCUGAAGACACUCACGGUGGUGUCCGGCCCGGACAUGGUGGACCUCACCUUCCACAACUUCGUCUCCUACAAGGAGAACGUGGGCAAGGUCUGGGCUGAGGACGUACUGGCCCUAGUCAAGCAUCCGCUGACGGCCAACGCCUCCCGCAGCACCUUCCUGGACAAGAUCCUUGUGAAGCUCAAGAUGCAGCUCAACUCUGAAGGGAAGAUUCCGGUGAAGAACUUUUUCCAGAUGUUUCCUGCUGACCGCAAGCGGGUGGAAGCUGCUCUCAGUGCCUGCCACCUCCCCAAAGGCAAAAAUGACGCCAUCAAUCCUGAGGACUUCCCAGAACCUGUCUACAAGAGUUUCCUCAUGAGCCUCUGUCCUCGGCCAGAAAUAGAUGAGAUCUUCACUUCUUACCAUGCUAAGGCCAAACCCUACAUGACGAAGGAGCACCUGACCAAAUUCAUCAACCAGAAACAGCGGGACUCCCGGCUUAACUCCCUGCUGUUCCCGCCAGCACGGCCUGACCAGGUGCAGGGCCUCAUCGACAAGUAUGAGCCCAGUGGCAUCAAUGUGCAGAGGGGCCAGCUGUCACCUGAGGGCAUGGUCUGGUUUCUCUGUGGGCCAGAGAACAGUGUGCUGGCUCAGGACAAGCUGCUGCUCCACCACGACAUGACGCAGCCACUCAAUCAUUACUUCAUCAACUCGUCCCACAACACCUACCUGACAGCCGGCCAGUUCUCAGGCCUCUCCUCGGCUGAGAUGUACCGCCAGGUGCUGCUCUCUGGCUGCCGUUGCGUGGAGCUAGACUGCUGGAAGGGGAAACCCCCUGACGAGGAGCCCAUUAUCACCCACGGCUUCACCAUGACCACAGACAUCUUCUUCAAAGAAGCAAUUGAGGCUAUUGCAGAAAGUGCCUUUAAGACCUCCCCCUAUCCCAUCAUCCUGUCGUUUGAGAACCACGUGGACUCACCCCGCCAGCAGGCUAAGAUGGCUGAGUAUUGCCGGACCAUCUUUGGGGAUAUGCUGCUCACAGAGCCCCUGGAAAAGUUCCCGCUAAAACCAGGUGUCCCCUUGCCCAGCCCCGAGGAUCUCAGGGGCAAGAUCCUCAUCAAGAACAAGAAGAACCAGUUUUCUGGCCCCACCUCCUCCAGUAAGGAUCCUGGUGGGGAGGCUGAGGGCAGCAGCCCACCCAGUGCCCCUGCAGGUGAGCGCACAGUGUGGGCUGGCGAGGAUGGGACUGAGCUGGAGGAGGAGGAGGUGGAAGAGGAAGAGGAGGAGGAGUCAGGAAACCUGGACGAAGAAGAGAUUAAGAAGAUGCAGUCGGAUGAGGGCACAGCGGGCCUGGAAGUGACGGCUUAUGAGGAGAUGUCCAGCCUAGUCAAUUACAUCCAGCCCACCAAGUUCAUCUCCUUUGAGUUCUCUGCCCAAAAGAACCGAAGUUAUGUCAUCUCAUCCUUCACAGAGCUCAAGGCAUAUGACCUGCUCUCCAAGGCCUCGGUGCAGUUUGUGGACUACAACAAGCGCCAGAUGAGCCGCAUUUACCCCAAGGGAACCCGCAUGGACUCCUCCAACUACAUGCCCCAGAUGUUCUGGAAUGCUGGAUGCCAGAUGGUUGCCCUCAACUUCCAGACGAUGGACUUGCCCAUGCAGCAGAACAUGGCAGUGUUUGAGUUCAACGGGCAGAGCGGCUACCUCCUCAAGCACGAGUUCAUGCGCCGGCCAGACAAGCAGUUCAACCCCUUCUCAGUGGACCGCAUCGACGUGGUGGUGGCCACCACCCUUUCCAUCACGGUGAUCUCUGGGCAGUUCCUGUCAGAACGCAGCGUGCGUACCUAUGUGGAAGUGGAGCUGUUUGGCCUUCCUGGGGACCCCAAGAGGCGCUAUCGAACUAAGCUGUCACCCAGUACCAACUCCAUCAAUCCUGUCUGGAAGGAGGAGCCCUUUGUCUUUGAGAAGAUCUUGAUGCCUGAGCUGGCCUCCCUCAGGGUGGCUGUGAUGGAGGAAGGCAACAAGUUUCUUGGACACCGCAUCAUCCCCAUCAAUGCCCUAAAUUCUGGGUACCACCACCUGUGCCUGCACAGUGAGAGCAACAUGCCCCUCACCAUGCCUGCGCUCUUCAUCUUCCUGGAGAUGAAGGACUACGUACCUGGUGCUUGGGCAGAUCUCACUGUGGCCCUCGCCAACCCCAUUAAGUUCUUCAGUGCCCAUGACAAGAAGUCUGUGAAGCUCAAGGAGGCCAUGGGAGGUCUGCCUGAGAAGCCCUUCCCACUGGCGAGUCCAGUUGCCAGCCAGGUCAAUGGGGCGUUGGCCCCAACGAGCAAUGGGUCACCAGGUAUGAGCUUCGGUCCGCACACCUACUGGGGGCACCUCCACCUCCGCACCCACAGGCACUUCCCUUUAAAAAAUUUCACCUGGGGAAAGUGCGGGGCAGGGGGCACAUACUGCGACUCCCAGGGGGUGGUGUGGGGGAGGCGAACGGAGCCUAGGGGCCCUCCAGAGCACCUGCCAGCCCAGCCCGUGGCUCUUGCAGCAGCCAGGGCCGGGGCCAGGGAAGAGGCUAUGAAAGAAGCUGCGGGUAAGGCCUGCUGAGCCCGGUGAUCUCGGGGAUGAGCCUGGGGCGGGUCCGGGGCUCCCUGGGGGUUGGACGGGCAGGACGGCCUGGCCGGUGGUGCGCCUCACCCGGGCCUCCGCAGAGCCGCGGACUGCCAGCCUGGAGGAGCUCCGGGAGCUAAAGGCCGUCGUGAAGCUGCAGCGGCGGCACGAGAAGGAGCUGCGGGAGUUGGAGCGGCGCGGAGCGCGGCGCUGGGAGGAGCUGCUGCAGCGGGGCGCGGCGCAGCUGGCCGAGCUCGGGCCACCGGGCGUGGGAGGCGUUGGGGCCUGCAAGCUGGGUCCGGGCAAGGGCUCUCGCAAGAAGAGGAGCCUGCCCCGCGAGGAGAGCGCCGGAGCUGCGCCGGGCGAGGGCCCUGAGGGCGUGGACGGGCGCGUGCGGGAGCUGAAGGACAGGCUGGAACUAGAGCUGCUGCGGCAGGGCGAGGAGCAGUACGAGUGCGUUCUGAAGCGCAAAGAGCAGCACGCGGCCGAGCAAAUCUCCAAAAUGAUGGAGCUGGCCAGAGAGAAACAGGCGGCAGAGCUGAAGGCCCUGAAGGAGACGUCGGAGAACGACACCAAAGAGAUGAAGAAAAAGCUGGAGACGAAGAGACUGGAGCGGAUCCAGGGCAUGACCAAAGUCACCGCAGACAAGAUGGCCCAGGAGAGAUGACGGAGAACUUGGAGGGGCACCAGGAGAAGCUGGAGGAGAAGCAGGCGGCUUGCCUGGAACAGAUACGGGAGAUGGAAAAGCAGUUCCAGAAGGAGGCGCUGGCAGAGUACGAGGCCAGGAUGAAGGGUCUAGAGGCAGAGGUGAAGGAGUCGGUGAGGGCCUGCCUCAGGACCUGCUUUCCCUCUGAGGCCAAGGACAAGCCCGAAAGGGCCUGCGAGUGCCCCCCAGAGCUGUGUGAGCAGGACCCACUCGUAGCAAAGGCAGAUGCCCAGGAGAGCCGCCUCUGAUGCCCCCAUCCCACUGGGACAUUUAGCAAGGAGGUUCAGCCCCUUCUCUGGGAUGUGGGUCUAUUCCCCCAGGAAAAAGGAGCCCCAGCCUUCUGAGGCUGUGGGAACCUGUGGCUGCCUUGGAUGCUGCAGCCCCCUCCUCAACGGCCAGGCCAGAGUCUGAGACAGGACCCAGGCACCCUCACGGCAGGGCCUCUCUGGGGCCUAGAAGUCUUCUCAAGCUGACUUCCUACCUCCCCGCCCCCAUCUCUAGAUAAGUGUCAUAUAUUUGUUGAGGGCAAAAGACUAUGGACUGGGAGGAAGAAAGUGGGAUCCUGGCCCCACUCUGCCUUUCCUAUUGAGCAACCAGCUCUGGGCUCAGUUUCCUCACCUGGAGGGUUGGACCCACCCACCUCCACUCUAGCCCUGAACCGUCCUGCCCCAGGCUUCCAGGCCCCAUCAGGCCUGCCCUGAGUUGGCCUUGUCCACUGCUUGAGGCAGAGCCUGGCACUACCUCACAGCUCCCUGGGGACGGCCACUCCCUGGCUGAGGGCUCUCCCCCUCCCCUCUGCCUGUCGGGAACAAGAACGGGAGUCUGAAAUGGAAAAGCUGUCUUGGCCCUGCUUGGCUGAGUCACAAGGGGCAGUGGCCUCUUGGGUGCUGUUCCACCCUGAACCUGGCUCACCCCUCUUCCUAGGCCUGGGGGCAGGCAGUUCCCAGCAUGUACCCCUCUCAGGCUGCCUGCCUGACAAGGUCAGCAUCAUUUGCUCUCCUGAAUUUAUGAGGUUUAUUUAUUUUUCUCUUUCCUACUCCUAUUAAAGAACCUUGUCCCAGUG